UAGGAGGCAGCAGUGAGGAAUAUUGCGCAAUGGGCGAAAGCCUGACGCAGCGACGCCGCGUGGGGGAUGAAGGCCUUCGGGUUGUAAACCCCUUUCAGCAGGGACGAAGCGAGAGUGACGGUACCUGCAGAAGAAGCGCCGGCUAACUACGUGCCAGCAGCCGCGGUAACACGUAGGGCGCAAGCGUUGUCCGGAAUUAUUGGGCGUAAAGAGCUCGUAGGUGGUUUGUUACGUCCGCUGUGAAAACCUAGGGCUUAACCCUGGGCUUGCAGUGGAUACGGGCAGACUAGAGGUAGGUAGGGGAGAAUGGAAUUCCUGGUGUAGCGGUGAAAUGCGCAGAUAUCAGGAGGAACACCGGUGGCGAAGGCGGUUCUCUGGGCCUUACCUGACACUGAGGAGCGAAAGCGUGGGGAGCGAACAGGAUUAGAUACCCCGGUAGU
RNAcentral lists this ribosomal RNA (440 nucleotides) under uncultured bacterium. RNAcentral describes it as "bacterial SSU rRNA". It matches the Rfam family "Bacterial small subunit ribosomal RNA", at positions 342 to 794 of the family's 1533-position model. The record is from RNAcentral.